CCUACGGGAGGCAGCAGUGGGGAAUUUUGGACAAUGGGCGAAAGCCUGAUCCAGCAAUGCCGCGUGAGUGAAGAAGGCCUUCGGGUUGUAAAGCUCUUUUGUCAGGGAAGAAACGGUGAGAGCUAAUAUCUCUUGCUAAUGACGGUACCUGAAGAAUAAGCACCGGCUAACUACGUGCCAGCAGCCGCGGUAAUACGUAGGGUGCAAGCGUUAAUCGGAAUUACUGGGCGUAAAGCGUGCGCAGGCGGUUUUGUAAGUCUGAUGUGAAAUCCCCGGGCUCAACCUGGGAAUUGCAUUGGAGACUGCAAGGCUAGAAUCUGGCAGAGGGGGGUAGAAUUCCACGUGUAGCAGUGAAAUGCGUAGAUAUGUGGAGGAACACCGAUGGCGAAGGCAGCCCCCUGGGUCAAGAUUGACGCUCAUGCACGAAAGCGUGGGGAGCAAACAGGAUUAGAUACCCUGGUAGUCCACGCCCUAAACGAUGUCUACUAGUUGUCGGGUCUUAAUUGACUUGGUAACGCAGCUAACGCGUGAAGUAGACCGCCUGGGGAUCGGUCGCAAGAUUAAACUUAAGAUAGUGCGNGAGAGAGNGACGAGACGACGAGGAGGAGG
Molecule: ribosomal RNA, 609 nt
Filed under: uncultured bacterium
Lineage: Bacteria
Description: bacterial SSU rRNA
Rfam family: Bacterial small subunit ribosomal RNA
Source: RNAcentral